AGGGUUUGACAUGAUACGAAUUUCUUUGAAAGAAGAAAGUGCCGUUUGGAACGUAUACACAGGUGGUGCAUGGCUGACGUCAGCUCGUGUCGUGAGAUGUUGGGUUAAGUCCCGCAACGAGCGCAACCCUUGUUUUUAGUUGCCUUUUAUGGAACUCUAAAAAGACUGCCGGUUAUAAACCGGAGGAAGGUGGGGAUGACGUCAAGUCAGCAUGCCCCUUACACCCUGGGCUACACACGUGCUACAUUGGGCGAGACAAUGAGAUGCAAAUCUGUGAAGACUAGCUAAUCUAUAAACUCGUUCUAAGUUCGGAUUGUAGGCUGCGACUCGCCUACAUGAAGG
RNAcentral lists this ribosomal RNA (342 nucleotides) under uncultured bacterium. Its description in RNAcentral is "bacterial SSU rRNA". It matches the Rfam family "Bacterial small subunit ribosomal RNA", at positions 976 to 1325 of the family's 1533-position model. The record is from RNAcentral.